UCAGGCCUAACACAUGCAAGUCCAGGGGAUGGAAGGGAGCUUGCUCCCGGAUGUUAGCGGCGGACGGGUGAGUAACACGUGGGUAACCUGCCUGUAAGACUGGGAUAACUCCGGGAAACCGGAGCUAAUACCGGAUAGUUCCUUGAACCGCAUGGUUCAAGGAUGAAAGACGGUUUCGGCUGUCACUUACAGAUGGACCCGCGGCGCAUUAGCUAGUUGGUGGGGUAAUGGCUCACCAAGGCGACGAUGCGUGGCCGACCUGAGAGGGUGAUCGGCCACACUGGGACUGAGACACGGCCCAGACUCCUACGGGAGGCAGCAGUAGGGAAUCUUCCGCAAUGGACGAAAGUCUGACGGAGCAACGCCGCGUGAGUGAUGAAGGUUUUCGGAUCGUAAAGCUCUGUUGUUAGGGAAGAACAAGUGCGAGAGUAACUGCUCGCACCUUGACGGUACCUAACCAGAAAGCCACGGCUAACUACGUGCCAGCAGCCGCGGUAAUACGUAGGUGGCAAGCGUUGUCCGGAAUUAUUGGGCGUAAAGGGCUCGCAGGCGGUUUCUUAAGUCUGAUGUGAAAGCCCCCGGCUCAACCGGGGAGGGUCAUUGGAAACUGGGAAACUUGAGUGCAGAAGAGGAGAGUGGAAUUCCACGUG
Molecule: ribosomal RNA, 650 nt
Filed under: uncultured bacterium
Lineage: Bacteria
Description: bacterial SSU rRNA
Rfam family: Bacterial small subunit ribosomal RNA
Source: RNAcentral